Molecule: ribosomal RNA, 468 nt
Filed under: uncultured bacterium
Lineage: Bacteria
Description: partial 16S ribosomal RNA
Rfam family: Bacterial small subunit ribosomal RNA
Source: RNAcentral
GACGAACGCUGGCGGCGUGCUUAACACAUGCAAGUCGAACGAAAAGGCCCUGCUUUUGUGGGGUGCUCGAGUGGCGAACGGGUGAGUAACACGUGAGUAACCUGCCCUUGACUUUGGGAUAACUUCAGGAAACUGGGGCUAAUACCGGAUAGGAGCUCCUGCUGCAUGGGGGGGGUUGGAAAGUUUCGGCGGUUGGGGAUGGACUCGCGGCUUAUCAGCUUGUUGGUGGGGUAGUGGCUUACCAAGGCUUUGACGGGUAGCCGGCCUGAGAGGGUGACCGGCCACAUGGGGACUGCGAUACGGCCCAGACUCCUACGUGAGGCAGCAGUGGGGAAUAUUGCACAAUGGGCGGACGCCUGAUGCAGAAACGCCGCGUGCGGGAUGACGGCCUUCGGGUUGUAAACCGCUUUCGCCUGUGACGAAGCGUGAGUGACGGUAAUGGGUAAAGAAGCACCGGCUAACUACGUG